Molecule: ribosomal RNA, 582 nt
Filed under: uncultured soil bacterium
Lineage: Bacteria
Description: bacterial SSU rRNA
Rfam family: Bacterial small subunit ribosomal RNA
Source: RNAcentral
GCUGGCGGCGUGCUUUACACAUGCAAGUCGAGCGAGGCGGCCCGCAAGGGCUAGUCGAGCGGCGAACGGGUGAGUAACGCGUGGAUAACCUGCCCUGAGGUGGGGGAUAACCAGGGGAAACUCUGGCUAAUACCGCAUGAUACCGAGAGGUCAAAGGGGGCUCGCAAGGGCUCCCGCCAUAGGAGGGGUCCGCGUCCGAUUAGCUAGUUGGUAGGGUAAUGGCCUACCAAGGCUACGAUCGGUAGCCGGCCUGAGAGGGUGAUCGGCCACACUGGAACUGAGACACGGUCCAGACUCCUACGGGAGGCAGCAGUGGGGAAUUUUGCGCAAUGGGCUAACGCCUGACGCAGCAACGCCGCGUGGAGGAUGAAGGUCUUUGGAUUGUAAACUCCUGUCAGCAGGGAAAAAGCGAAUCGGUCUAAUACACCGGUGAGUUGAUUGUACCUGCAGAGGAAGCCCCGGCUAACUCUGUGCCAGCAGCCGCGGUAAUACAGAGGGGGCAAGCGUUAUUCGGAAUUAUUGGGCGUAAAGGGCGCGUAGGCGGCUUGGCAAGUGGAAGGUGAAAUCCCUCGGCUUAACCGA